CCUAAUUUCACUUUGAUUAAUUAAUUCAUUAAUUUCUUUUUUUUAACAAAUAUUUAUUGAGCCCCUACCAUGCUCUAGUCAUCCUAAGAAAUGGGAUGAAGCUACAAUUAAAAGAGAGAGAAGAUCCUGGCUUUAUGUACCAUUAUAAAGCUGAGCCCUUUCAACUCACUGGGAAGAGCCUGGUGCUUGAGAUCUGAAGGUCAUGAAUUCUAUCGCACUGGCAGGUUUCAUGGAUGUGGUUAGCAGAUGACUGUGAAGCCUGUAUUCUUUGUAUAUAGGGUCACAGAUCAUUAAACAUCACUUCCAUUAACAUCUGCUUCUGUCUUUCAACAAUAAUGUAUGUGAGCCAAUGGAAUGUCUUAACAGGGGGAAAGGUAACAAAUAUCUUGGCCCUGCUUCACAGACAUAUUUGCACACAUACACACAGAAAAUAUUAAUGGCUGUACCUUAAAUGAUCAUCACAAGAAAGAUUUUUCCCUUGGAUGCUAUAUAAAAAAUAUGACUAAGAGGAAUUGAGAAAAGUAAAACUCCCUUUCUUGAGACCCUGUUAAUGUUUCAUUCAUAAUGUCCCUCUUCCCUCUCGCUUCUGUCGUGUCCUAUGGCAUACCCAUCAUAGGUGUGCUGGACAAUUGCAUCACCUUUGAUCUAAUCCUUGCAUCUCUAAUGUGUCUCUAUUAUAUUGGUUUGUUUAUAGCACUUUGUUAUCAGCCUCCUGCUCCAAAUCCAUCAAUGCUCCCUUUACUGACACAAAACAUUCAAAUUCCUUACUGUCAUAUUCGAAGUUCUUUACAAUGUGAAUUAAACCUGUCUUUUAGUUAUUAUAUCUUACUGCUAUGCUACAUACACUCUCUUCUUUAGCCAGCUAAGUCACACCAUGGGAGAGGGUGUUGCAUAGCCAAUGCUUAGGGUGUAGAGUUUAAUGCGCCUGAAAGUUUUAACACUAGCUUUGCCUCUAAUCGUGCAUUUCUAAAAAUUAUUAAAUUUUGUGUCUCUUCUUCACUGGGGACAACCACCAACUUUGCUGGAUAAUGAACUAAUGAAGGUAAAGAGCCUACAUGGCGCUUGAGCCAUGGGAGAUGUUUUAUAAAGGAAGCUGGUAGUAAUGGCAAUAGUGGUGGCAAUUCUGCCAGCUAGUAGUUUUCAAUCAUUUUUGUUACUCAAGUCCAACCCUUCAGUUAAGUUACAACAAUAUUCCUCCCUGUCUUAUGAGUUUUUUCAUGAUUAUUAUCCAGCUACUAAGGUUUUUUUUGCCCUCCUUAAUUUUAC
This 1266-nucleotide long non-coding RNA is filed under the name Equus caballus (horse). RNAcentral describes it as "lncRNA (ENSECAG00000042458.2)". The record is from RNAcentral. Lineage: Eukaryota; Metazoa; Chordata; Mammalia; Perissodactyla; Equidae.